RNAcentral lists this unclassified non-coding RNA (335 nucleotides) under uncultured fungus. Its description in RNAcentral is "partial contains 5.8S ribosomal RNA and internal transcribed spacer 2". The stretch from base 1 to 133 matches the Rfam family "5.8S ribosomal RNA", at positions 22 to 154 of the family's 154-position model. The record is from RNAcentral. Lineage: Eukaryota; Fungi.
UGGUUCUGGCAUCGAUGAAGAACGCAGCGAAAUGCGAUAAGUAAUGUGAAUUGCAGAAUUCAGUGAAUCAUCGAAUCUUUGAACGCACAUUGCGCCCGCCAGCAUUCUGGCGGGCAUGCCUGUUCGAGCGUCAUUUCAACCCCUCGGGCCCCCGGGCCCGGCGUCGGGGCACCCCCGCGAGGGGGGCCCCCAGAGGCAUCGGCGGGACCGCCGCGGCUCCGAGCGCAGUAGAAGACAAAACUCUCGCUGAGGAGGCCCGCGGCGCGCAGCCCGGCCGCUAAACCCCCAAAGACAAAACAAAGUUUGACCUCGGAUCAGGUAGGAAUACCCGCUGA